This 73-nucleotide transfer RNA is filed under the name Poterioochromonas malhamensis. Its description in RNAcentral is "tRNA-Phe". It matches the Rfam family "tRNA". From Rfam's summary of the family: Transfer RNA (tRNA) molecules are approximately 80 nucleotides in length. Their secondary structure includes four short double-helical elements and three loops (D, anti-codon, and T loops). The record is from RNAcentral. Lineage: Eukaryota; Synurophyceae; Ochromonadales; Ochromonadaceae.
GCUAAGAUAGCUCAGUAGGUAGAGCAGUGGAUUGAAGCUCCUCGUGUCACCAGUUCAAUUCUGGUUCUUAGCA